RNAcentral lists this ribosomal RNA (78 nucleotides) under Ailuropoda melanoleuca (giant panda). The record is from RNAcentral. Lineage: Eukaryota; Metazoa; Chordata; Mammalia; Carnivora; Ursidae.
ACCACCCUGAACAUACCUGAUCUCAUCUGAUCUCAGAAGCUAAGCAGGGUCGGGCCUCGUUAGUACUUGGAUGGGAGA